GACGAACGCUGGCGGCGUGCUUAACACAUGCAAGUCGAACGGAAAGGCUCCAGCUUGCUGGAGUACUCGAGUGGCGAACGGGUGAGUAACACGUGGGUAAUCUGCCCUGCACUCUGGGAUAAGCCUGGGAAACUGGGUCUAAUACUGGAUAUGACCUUUCUCCUUAUGGGGUUUGGUGGAAAGUUUUUCGGUGUAGGAAGAGCCCGCGGCCUAUCAGCUUGUUGGUGGGGUGAUGGCUUACCAAGGCGACGACGGGUAGCCGGCCUGAGAGGGUGAUCGGCCACAUUGGGACUGAGAUACGGCCCAGACUCCUACGGGAGGCAGCAGUGGGGAAUAUUGCACAAUGGGCGGAAGCCUGAUGCAGCGACGCCGCGUGAGGGAUGACGGCCUUCGGGUUGUAAACCUCUUUCAGCAGGGACGAAGCGUAAGUGACGGUACCUGCAGAAGAAGCACCGGCUAACUAUGUG
Molecule: ribosomal RNA, 467 nt
Filed under: uncultured bacterium
Lineage: Bacteria
Description: partial 16S ribosomal RNA
Rfam family: Bacterial small subunit ribosomal RNA
Source: RNAcentral